This is a long non-coding RNA of Zea mays, 625 nucleotides long. RefSeq lists it as uncharacterized. The record is from RefSeq and is a predicted model, not a curated record. The transcript is spliced from 2 exons. Lineage: Eukaryota; Viridiplantae; Streptophyta; Magnoliopsida; Poales; Poaceae.
AUAUGACUUUGAUGAAAGUGAACCAAUGGAUUUCAAAUAACAAGCAUUUAAGCUCAACAUGACCUGAUUUAUCCAAAACAAUAAGAAUUUGCGAACAUAUAAGAGAUGUAGGCAUCUGCCAACAAAAUUCUAACAAAAGAGUUAACAUAUUACUUACAUGUGAGUUGAACGUAUUAUUUGCAUGUGUUUUAUUCUUCCCCGCAAAUAAACUUCUUUUCAUGUACUAACAACUUAUUUUGCAAUCUUAACAAAGACAUCUCUUUGAUUCCAGUUUGGUAAUAGCAUCUUUCUGUAUUGCAUGCUUCUGGUGUGUGACACUCUUAUCUAAUUAAAAGUAUGAAUUGUGUUACUUGUUGCCAGGUGUGGAUUUUAAAAUCAAGUUCCUUACAGUUGGUGGAAAGAAACUAAAGUUGACAAUAUGGGAUACUGCUGGCCAGGAGAGGUUUAGGACAAUAACUAGUUCUUACUACAGAGGUGCUCAGGGAAUUAUUUUAGGUAAGACAGUAUUUUUACUACAGUUGACUGCUUAUAUAUUUUGAUAUAUUGUAAUAUCACAUUAAUGUCAUUUUUGUCACCUUGAUGUCGGAUUAUUGAAAUAUGCCAUUGAAUGGUAUAAGUUGAUCUA